UUUGUGCCUCACUACAACCUGAAUGCAAACAGUAUAAUAUACGCAUUGAAGGGACGUGCAAGGCUACAAGUAGUGAACUGCAAUGGCAACACACCCGGUUUUGAUGGAGAGCUAGAAGCCGGACGUGCAUUGACAGUGCCACAAAACUGGCUGCAAAGUCACUAAGCGACAGGUUCUCAUAUGUAGCAUUCAAGACCAAUGAUAGAGCUGGUAUUGCAAGACUUGCAGGGACAUCAUCAGUUAUAAAUAAUCUGCCGUUGGAUGUUGUGGCAGCUACAUUCAACCUGCAGAGGAAUGAGGCAAGGCAGCUCAAGUCCAACAAUCCCUUCAAAUUUCUAGUUCCAGCUCGUCAGUCUGAGAACAGAGCUUCGGCUUAGAUUUCGCACCAAAUCAAUGAAAGUAAUAAUGAAAAGUCUGAAUAAGAAUACUUAGGCUUAGAUGCCUUUGUUACUUGUGUAAAAUAACUUGAGUCAUGUACCUUUGGCGGAAACAGAAUAAAUAAAAGGUGAAAUUCCAAUGCUCUAUGUAUAAGUUAGUAAUACUUAAUGUGUUCUACGGUUGUUUCAAUAUCAUCAAACUCUAAUUGAAACUUUAGAACCACAAAUCUCAAUCUUUUCUUAAUGAAAUGAAAAAUCUUAAU
RNAcentral lists this long non-coding RNA (640 nucleotides) under Lathyrus oleraceus (garden pea). RNAcentral describes it as "Pisum sativum (pea) long non-coding RNA (PSAT_LNC035747)". The record is from RNAcentral. Lineage: Eukaryota; Viridiplantae; Streptophyta; Magnoliopsida; Fabales; Fabaceae.